GCGGCGUGCUUAACACAUGCAAGUCGAACGAUGAAGCCUUUCGGGGUGGAUUAGUGGCGAACGGGUGAGUAACACGUGGGCAAUCUGCCCUUCACUCUGGGACAAGCCCUGGAAACGGGGUCUAAUACCGGAUAACACUCUGUCCCGCAUGGGACGGGGUUAAAAGCUCCGGCGGUGAAGGAUGAGCCCGCGGCCUAUCAGCUUGUUGGUGGGGUGAUGGCCUACCAAGGCGACGACGGGUAGCCGGCCUGAGAGGGCGACCGGCCACACUGGGACUGAGACACGGCCCAGACUCCUACGGGAGGCAGCAGUGGGGAAUAUUGCACAAUGGGCGAAAGCCUGAUGCAGCGACGCCGCGUGAGGGAUGACGGCCUUCGGGUUGUAAACCU
This 389-nucleotide ribosomal RNA is filed under the name Streptomyces sp. Its description in RNAcentral is "bacterial SSU rRNA". It matches the Rfam family "Bacterial small subunit ribosomal RNA", at positions 39 to 432 of the family's 1533-position model. Lineage: Bacteria; Bacillati; Actinomycetota; Actinomycetes; Kitasatosporales; Streptomycetaceae. The record is from RNAcentral.